UGGGGAAUUUUGCACAAUGGGGGAAACCCUGAUGCAGCGACGCCGCGUGAUUUAGAAGGCCUUCGGGUUGUAAAAAUCUUUUGUAUGGGAAGAAAAUGACAGUACCAUACGAAUAAGGACCGGCUAAUUACGUGCCAGCAGCCGCGGUAAUACGUAAGGUCCGAGCGUUGUCCGGAAUCAUUGGGCGUAAAGGGUACGUAGGCGGAUAAGCAAGUUAGAAGUGAAAUCCUAUAGCUCAACUAUAGUAAGCUUUUAAAACUGCUCAUCUUGAGGUAUGGAAGGGAAAGUGGAAUUCCUAGUGUAGCGGUGAAAUGCGCGGAUAUUAGGAGGAAUACCGGUGGCGAAGGCGACUUUCUGGCCAUAAACUGACGCUGAGGUACGAAAGCGUGGGUAGCAAACAGG
This 402-nucleotide ribosomal RNA is filed under the name Verrucomicrobiota bacterium. Its description in RNAcentral is "Verrucomicrobia bacterium partial 16S ribosomal RNA". It matches the Rfam family "Bacterial small subunit ribosomal RNA", at positions 355 to 776 of the family's 1533-position model. Lineage: Bacteria; Pseudomonadati; Verrucomicrobiota. The record is from RNAcentral.